Acanthosepion pharaonis is the source of this 114-nucleotide non-coding RNA. Lineage: Eukaryota; Metazoa; Mollusca; Cephalopoda; Sepiida; Sepiidae. The record is from the annotation of a GenBank genome assembly.
CUACGGCCACAUCACGUUGAAACAUUGGUUCCCGUACGAUCACCUAAGUUAAGCAACGUCGAACAUGGUCAGUAUCUAGAUAGGUGACCGCUUGGAAAUGCCAGAUGCUGUAAG